RNAcentral lists this ribosomal RNA (172 nucleotides) under uncultured bacterium. Its description in RNAcentral is "partial 16S ribosomal RNA". It matches the Rfam family "Bacterial small subunit ribosomal RNA", at positions 1321 to 1500 of the family's 1533-position model. The record is from RNAcentral.
UGAAGCUGGAUUCGCUAGUAAUCGCGCAUCAGCCAUGGCGCGGUGAAUACGUUCCCGGGCCUUGUACACACCGCCCGUCAAGCCAUGGAAGCCGGGGGUGCCUGAAGUGUGCAGCCGCAAGGAGCGCCCUAAGGUAAAACCGGUGACUGGGGCUAAGUCGUAACAAGGUAUC